AACGAGCGCAACCCUUGCCUUUAGUUGCCAGCAGUCGGCUGGGCACUCUAAAGGGACGUGCCGGUGUUAAACCGGAGGAAGGUGGGGGAUGACGUCAAGUCCUCAUGGCCUUUAUGACCAGGGCUACACACGUACUACAAUGGCCGAUACAAAGGGCAGCGACACUGCGAGGUGAAGCCAAUCCCGUAAAAUCGGUCUCAGUCCGGAUUGGAGUCUGCAACUCGACUCCAUGAAGUUGGAAUCGCUAGUAAUCGUGGAUCAGCAUGCCACGGUGAAUACGUUCCCGGGCCUU
RNAcentral lists this ribosomal RNA (292 nucleotides) under uncultured Desulfobulbus sp. RNAcentral describes it as "partial 16S ribosomal RNA". It matches the Rfam family "Bacterial small subunit ribosomal RNA", at positions 1091 to 1382 of the family's 1533-position model. Lineage: Bacteria; Pseudomonadati; Thermodesulfobacteriota; Desulfobulbia; Desulfobulbales; Desulfobulbaceae. The record is from RNAcentral.